Molecule: long non-coding RNA, 216 nt
Filed under: Musa acuminata (dwarf banana)
Lineage: Eukaryota; Viridiplantae; Streptophyta; Magnoliopsida; Zingiberales; Musaceae
Description: long non-coding RNA (MACU_LNC003555)
Source: RNAcentral
UGCUUUGGAACUAUGAAUGAGACCACCACUUAGUAGUUCAUAUAAUUGCUUUUUAAACUUUGCCAACUCUAGAGAGUCAAUGUGAUAUGGUGGUCUCAUUGGAGGCUUUACUCUUAGCUCUAGCUUGAUGUGAUGAUCUACACCUCAAUAUGGUAGUAGAGAUUUUGACAACUUGAGUAGUCUAAUAUCAAUGAACUUCUUUAAAGCAUUCGCCAC